RNAcentral lists this unclassified non-coding RNA (18 nucleotides) under Mus musculus (house mouse). RNAcentral describes it as "oocyte_clustered_small_RNA7786". Lineage: Eukaryota; Metazoa; Chordata; Mammalia; Rodentia; Muridae. The record is from RNAcentral.
CUCCUGUGAUUCUGUUCC